GGGGAAUUUUGCGCAAUGGACGAGAGUCUGACGCAGCAACGCCGCGUGGGUGAUGAAGGUCUUCGGACUGUAAAACCCUGUCGUCAGGGACGAAGGUGGCAGGACUAAUAAUCCUGUUACUUGACGGUACCUGGAGAGGAAGCCCCGGCUAACUCUGUGCCAGCAGCCGCGGUAAUACAGAGGGGGCAAGCGUUAUUCGGAAUUAUUGGGCGUAAAGGGCGCGUAGGCGGUUUUUUAAGUCAGAUGUGUAAGCCCCGGGGUCAACCUGGGAACUGCAUCUGAGACUGGAAGGCUAGAGUACUGGAGAGGGUGGUGGAAUUCCUCGUGUAGCGGUGAAAUGCGUAGAGAUGAGGAGGAACACCAGUGGCGAAGGCGGCCACCUGGACAGUAACUGACGCUGAGGCGCGAAAGUGUGGAUAGCAAAC
This 425-nucleotide ribosomal RNA is filed under the name uncultured bacterium. Its description in RNAcentral is "bacterial SSU rRNA". It matches the Rfam family "Bacterial small subunit ribosomal RNA", at positions 356 to 773 of the family's 1533-position model. The record is from RNAcentral.